CAGGCCUAACACAUGCAAGUCGAACGCCCCGCAAGGGGAGUGGCAGACGGGUGAGUAACACGUGGGAACGUACCCUUUGGUUCGGAACAACCCUGGGAAACUAGGGCUAAUACCGGAUACGCGCGAGAGCGGAAAGGUUUACCGCCGAAGGAUCGGCCCGCGUCUGAUUAGCUAGUUGGCGAGGUAACGGCUCACCAAGGCGACGAUCAGUAGCUGGUCUGAGAGGAUGAUCAGCCACAUUGGGACUGAGACACGGCCCAAACUCCUACGGGAGGCAGCAGUGGGGAAUAUUGGACAAUGGGCGCAAGCCUGAUCCAGCCAUGCCGCGUGAGUGAUGAAGGCCUUAGGGUUGUAAAGCUCUUUUACCCGGGAUGAUAAUGACAGUACCGGGAGAAUAAGCUCCGGCUAACUCCGUGCCAGCAGCCGCGGUAAU
Molecule: ribosomal RNA, 433 nt
Filed under: uncultured bacterium
Lineage: Bacteria
Description: bacterial SSU rRNA
Rfam family: Bacterial small subunit ribosomal RNA
Source: RNAcentral